RNAcentral lists this non-coding RNA (116 nucleotides) under Deltaproteobacteria bacterium. Its description in RNAcentral is "SAM-I sequence". It matches the Rfam family "SAM riboswitch aptamer (S box leader)". From Rfam's summary of the family: The SAM riboswitch is found upstream of a number of genes which code for proteins involved in methionine or cysteine biosynthesis in Gram-positive bacteria. The record is from RNAcentral. Lineage: Bacteria; Pseudomonadati; Myxococcota; Myxococcia.
AUCUUAUCGAGAGUGGCAGAGGGACUGGCCCUGUGAAGCCACAGCAACCGGUUCCGCCUUUGGCGGAGCGCCAGGUGCUAAUUCCAGCAAGGUUUUUUAGCCUUGGAAGAUAAGAA